GUCGAACGCUGGCGGCGUGCCUAAUACAUGCAAGUAGAACGCUGAAGGAGGAGCUUGCUUCUCUGGAUGAGUUGCGAACGGGUGAGUAACGCGUAGGUAACCUGCCUGGUAGCGGGGGAUAACUAUUGGAAACGAUAGCUAAUACCGCAUAAUAGUAGAUGUUGCAUGACAUUUACUUAAAAGGUGCAAUUGCAUCACUACCAGAUGGACCUGCGUUGUAUUAGCUAGUUGGUGGGGUAACGGCUCACCAAGGCGACGAUACAUAGCCGACCUGAGAGGGUGAUCGGCCACACUGGGACUGAGACACGGCCCAGACUCCUACGGGAGGCAGCAGUAGGGAAUCUUCGGCAAUGGACGAAAGUCUGACCGAGCAACGCCGCGUGAGUGAAGAAGGUUUUCGGAUCGUAAAGCUCUGUUGUAAGAGAAGAACGAGUGUGAGAGUGGAAAGUUCACACUGUGACGGUAUCUUACCAGAAAGGGACGGCUAACUACGUG
This 495-nucleotide ribosomal RNA is filed under the name uncultured bacterium. RNAcentral's name for it is "partial 16S ribosomal RNA". It matches the Rfam family "Bacterial small subunit ribosomal RNA", at positions 28 to 507 of the family's 1533-position model. The record is from RNAcentral.